Molecule: ribosomal RNA, 637 nt
Filed under: uncultured Bacteroidales bacterium
Lineage: Bacteria; Pseudomonadati; Bacteroidota; Bacteroidia; Bacteroidales
Description: bacterial SSU rRNA
Rfam family: Bacterial small subunit ribosomal RNA
Source: RNAcentral
CGGCGCACGGGUGAGUAACACGUAUCCAACCUGCCGUCUACUCUUGGACAGCCUUCUGAAAGGAAGAUUAAUACAAGAUGGCAUCAUGAGUCCGCAUGUUCACAUGAUUAAAGGUAUUCCGGUAGACGAUGGGGAUGCGUUCCAUUAGAUAGUAGGCGGGGUAACGGCCCACCUAGUCUUCGAUGGAUAGGGGUUCUGAGAGGAAGGUCCCCCACAUUGGAACUGAGACACGGUCCAAACUCCUACGGGAGGCAGCAGUGAGGAAUAUUGGUCAAUGGGCGAGAGCCUGAACCAGCCAAGUAGCGUGAAGGAUGACUGCCCUAUGGGUUGUAAACUUCUUUUAUAAAGGAAUAAAGUCGGGUAUGCAUACCCGUUUGCAUGUACUUUAUGAAUAAGGAUCGGCUAACUCCGUGCCAGCAGCCGCGGUAAUACGGAGGAUCCGAGCGUUAUCCGGAUUUUAUUGGGUUUAAAGGGAGCGUAGAUGGAUGUUUAAGUCAGUUGUGAAAGUUUGCGGCUCAACCGUAAAAUUGCAGUUGAUACUGGAUAUCUUGAGUGCAGUUGAGGCAGGCGGAAUUCGUGGUGUAGCGGUGAAAUGCUUAGAUAUCACGAAGAACUCCGAUUGCGAAGGCAGCCUGCU